AGUGAACGCUGGCGGUAGGCCUAACACAUGCAAAUCGAACGGCAGCACAGUAAGAGCUUGCUCUUACGGGUGGCGAGUGGCGGACGGGUGAGGAAUACAUCGGAAUCUACUUUUUCGUGGGGGAUAACGUAGGGAAGCUUACGCUAAUACCGCAUACGACCUACGGGUGAAAGCAGGGGAUCUUCGGACCUUGCGCGAUUGAAUGAGCCGAUGUCGGAUUAGCUAGUUGGCGGGGUAAAGGCCCACCAAGGCGACGAUCCGUAGCUGGUCUGAGAGGAUGAUCAGCCACACUGGAACUGAGACACGGUCCAGACUCCUACGGGAGGCAGCAGUGGGGAAUAUUGGACAAUGGGCGCAAGCCUGAUCCAGCCAUACCGCGUGGGUGAAGAAGGCCUUCGGGUUGUAAAGCCCUUUUGUUGGGAAAGAAAAGCAGCAGGUUAAUACCCCGCUGUUCUGACGGUACCCAAAGAAUAAGCACCGGCUAACUUCGUG
RNAcentral lists this ribosomal RNA (492 nucleotides) under uncultured bacterium. Its description in RNAcentral is "partial 16S ribosomal RNA". It matches the Rfam family "Bacterial small subunit ribosomal RNA", at positions 29 to 507 of the family's 1533-position model. The record is from RNAcentral.